GACGAACGCUGGCGGCGUGCUUAACACAUGCAAGUCGAACGGACAGGCCCUGCUUUUGUUGGGUGCUCGAGUGCCGAACAGGUGAGUAACACGUGAGUAACCUCUCCUUGACUUUGUGGUAACUUCACGAAACUGCGGCUAAUACCCCAUAUGAUCUCCUGCUCCACGUUGGUGGUUGGUAAAUUUCGGCGGUUGGGGAUGGAAGCGCGGCUUAUCCGCUUGUUUGUGUGGUAGGGGCUUACCAAGGCUUUGACGGGUAGCCGGCCUGGGAGGGUGACCGGCGACAUGGGGACUGAGAGACGGAGCAGACUGCUACGGGAGGCAGCAGUGGGGAACAUGGCACAAUGGGCGGAAGCCUGAUGCAGCAACGCCGCGUGCGGGAUGACGGCCUUCGGGUGGUAAACCGAUGUGGCCUGUGACGAAGCGUGAGUGACGGUAAUGGGUAAAGAAGCACCGGCUAACUACGUG
Molecule: ribosomal RNA, 468 nt
Filed under: uncultured bacterium
Lineage: Bacteria
Description: partial 16S ribosomal RNA
Rfam family: Bacterial small subunit ribosomal RNA
Source: RNAcentral